Molecule: long non-coding RNA, 1032 nt
Organism: Gallus gallus (chicken)
Lineage: Eukaryota; Metazoa; Chordata; Aves; Galliformes; Phasianidae
Source: Ensembl
AGCAGCUAUCCUUUUGCAUUCAGAAGAAAACAGAAUACCUGCAUGCAAAGCCAAUCCCCCCGUAAUAGGACGGCCAUGGUUUCACCUGCACCUGCUGCAAGCAACUCCAGGCUUAGCACAGCUCUGUGCAGCAGGCAGGAGACUCCUGAGAAGGGGCCCCUGGUGGGGGUGGUAGCAAAAGUUCUACCCACAUCAUACCGUUGCAGCACACAAGAGCAGGAUUUAUUACACUACAGAAUCCAGGAACGGCACUGCAUAUUCUCAAGCGCCAUCUACCGGUAUUUUACCUGAGAACUGCUCGUAUGCAUACAAUCACCCUUUAUUUUGAAUUAAGCCCUACAUAAGGAAAAGACAAGGGUGUGAGUGACAUGCCAAAAGAUCCACAGUUACGUGGGAGGGAAGAGAUGCACUGCUUUAGCACUGCAUGUUGGGAAAGGCAUUCAACCUGCACCUGGUCACCUCAACACAUCAGACAUACGCAAAGAUUUAGACUGUAUGUCCGUCAGUGUCGUUCUCGCUCACCUUUGAAGCUUCUGCACUCACUGGAUAACACCUAUGGCAUUCACCAAUUAGGAGAGACAAUGAAGUCACCAUAUGCCAAGAUCCAUGAAGGUGUUCAGACCAUUCAUCUCUGUGCAGAAGACCUAGAAAGCAGCUCUGAAACAGAUUGCAUGUGACACUGGAACUUAAUUCACAUCCAAAGAGCUCUACUUUGCUGAAAGACAUAAUAUCACACAUGUAACAUCAGCUUCUCGUCCUCCUGCCACAGUACAGAUUCCUGUCUGAACUGAUGAAGAAUUAACAAGCCAAUUACACUAUCAGCCUAAUAAACUUGUGAAUGUUCCAGAGCAAGAAAAAUAGCCAGAAGAUUCUAGUCAUUUGAGUCCUGAAUGGUGAACUGUGAAAUGUCCUUACCAUUCUUCAGUCUUAAAAACACACAAGAUGGGAGUUUUUUCUUCAAGCUUUUACUGUAGUAUCAGUAAUGUGUAGUCUGUCACAUAUUUGUAUAGAAAUUUAACAAUCUCUGCGUGC